RNAcentral lists this ribosomal RNA (484 nucleotides) under uncultured bacterium. RNAcentral's name for it is "partial 16S ribosomal RNA". It matches the Rfam family "Bacterial small subunit ribosomal RNA", at positions 30 to 507 of the family's 1533-position model. The record is from RNAcentral.
AUUGAACGCUGGCGGCAGGCCUAACACAUGCAAGUCGAGCGGAUGAAGGGAGCUUGCUCCUGGAUUCAGCGGCGGACGGGUGAGUAAUGCCUAGGAAUCUGCCUGGUAGUGGGGGAUAACGUCCGGAAACGGGCGCUAAUACCGCAUACGUCCUGAGGGAGAAAGUGGGUGAUCUUCGGACCUCACGCUAUCAGAUGAGCCUAGGUCGGAUUAGCUAGUUGGUGGGGUAAAGGCCUACCAAGGCGACGAUCCGUAACUGGUCUGAGAGGAUGAUCAGUCACACUGGAACUGAGACACGGUCCAGACUCCUACGGGAGGCAGCAGUGGGGAAUAUUGGACGAUGGGCGAAAGCCUGAUCCAGCCAUGCCGCGUGUGUGAAGAAGGUCUUCGGAUUGUAAAGCACUUUAAGUUGGGAGGAAGGGCGGUAAGUUAAUACCUUGCUGUUUUGACGUUACCAACAGAAUAAGCACCGGCUAACUUCGUG